RNAcentral lists this long non-coding RNA (6410 nucleotides) under Homo sapiens (human). RNAcentral describes it as "HSALNT0076779". The record is from RNAcentral. Lineage: Eukaryota; Metazoa; Chordata; Mammalia; Primates; Hominidae.
GACCCAGUAAGGGAUCUGUUGCGCCACAGGGGUCUCCAGGGCCCUCGCAGGUUGGGGUGGUCUGAGCUAGUCUGAAGGAGGACAGUCAGCUGACUUCUCCUUUAUCUCUCUUUCCCAGGAUAGCAGGUUCCCUUGGUGUAUUACAGUUUCUGAAGUGUUGAUUCCCUUUUCAAUUGAUUCCACAGAUGACAGUCCUGACGUUUAAAAAAUUGCCAGAUAACCUUUAAUUUUUUUUUUUUUAACAGAACACAAACUUAAGCCAGAUUGCCUAGGAUUGAACCUUGGCCUCUCACUUCCUAGACGAGUGGCCUUGGCUAGUUAACCACCUUCGUGAGCCUCAGUUUUGUCAUCUGUAAAAUGGGAGUCAUAAGUGUCUACCUCACAGAGCUGUGAUUGAAAGGAUAAAUAGCACCUUGCACAUAGCGGUGUAGAAGUGCUUGUUAUUGUUAAUAUUUUAUUUACCUUCACGCAGCCUACAGUGGCGGAAGUGGAGUAAGACAUCAUGUUGCCUCAAGUUUAAUUGGAAAUCGCGUGCCUUGUGAAGAAUGGACACUCAGUAGAUGCUUAUUGAUGAACCUGUUGGUUGAGGAUAACUCGCUAACUUUUCUGAGCUUUGUUGGAAAAACUAGCAAGUGUGUAUCAUUGGCCCCAAGCACCUUCUGUCUGUUGACCUGGCUCAAACUUCAAUCUGACCAUCAGUGAAGAAGGCUGAUGCCGCAGAUGGAGAGAGACACAGGAUGUAUGAAUGUAGCAUAACUCAGGAUUCACCUCGUGUGGUCCUUCCCACUUGAACCCUAUCCUAAGUGUGAAAGUUACCCCAUCGCUUUCCUCUUGCUUCAGAUUAUGUGCUUUAAAGUGAUUUAAUAAACUAUGCGAUUCAAACAUCUUAAUUUGAUCUUUGAGCCUGUUUUGUGACUUCCGGGAUAGCUUGCCUUGUAGUGUACUUGUAGGUCACCAUUGCAUCAAGGUAAUUUCUCAUGACAACUACAAAAAACUUAGAAAAUAAGAACAUAGCAUUGUAUAGCAUAAAGGAAAGCAAUCUGAAGAGGAGAAAGACAGGUAGUCACAAAUUGUGUCAUUAAUAGACUGAAAGACCAAAAAAGUAAAGGACAAACCAAAAGACAGUGUGGAGAAGAUUUUUUUCUAAAUUGAUUUAUAGAAAAAGGAAUGAGACAAGAAAGAAAGACAUGGUUUGGGCAAUGUAUAAAUGUCAUUGAUCCCAAUUCUACUUUAUUUCUGAGACCAAAAUAACAGUUUCAGAGGUGACUACCACAAGGUCCAACAAGUGGACUCAUCCCUGAAUUUCUUCCUCCUCCUCCUUCUUUCUUCUUCCUCCUCCUCCUCUUCUUUCUUUCCUUCUUUCCUUUCCUCUUUCUCUCUCUUUCUUUUUCUUUCUUUCUUCCUUUCUUUCUCUCUCUCUUUCUCUCUAUUUCUUUCUUUCUGUGUCUCUCUCUUUCUUUUUCUUUUUUUCUUUCCUUUUCUUUCUUCUUUUUUUUUUUCCUCAAAAAGAAUCUCUUGCUCUGCUGCCCAGGCUGGAGUACAGUGGUGUGAUCACAGCUCACUAUAAUCUCAAACUCCUGGGCUCAAGUAAUCCUCUCACUUCAGCCUCCCAAGUAGCUAGGACAACAGGUGCACAUCACCACACCCAGCUAAUUUUUUAUUUUAUUUUUUCUAGAGACAGGGGUCUCACUAUGUGAUGCAGGAUGAUCUCAAACUCCCUGGCCUCAAGCGAUCCUCCUGCCUUGGUCUCCUAAAGUGCUGGGAUUACAGGUAUGAGCCACUGCACCUGGCCUAUCCUGAAUUUUUUUAAUUCAUGCUACAUAGCAUUACAAGUUUGUAAAAAAAAAAAAAAGUUUACGACAUUUUUAAAGACAGAAAAGUAAUAGGCUUUAAAAAUACCUAUAACUAGGAAGGAAAUGCAUAUAAAAUACUACUUUCAAUAAAAGUUUUAUUAUUUAUAUAAAAUUACUGAAACAUUCCCUGUAAAUUUAUUCCUAUCUAAAAAAAUAUUAAUAAUGCACCUAUCUUAAAUAUUUGUGGGAUAAAAAAUUUAGUAAAAUGAAAUAUACCUUUAAAAUGAAAGUAGGCCAGGCAUGGUGGCUUACACCUGUAAUCCCAGUACUUUGGGAGGCCGAGGCAGGUGGAUCACCUGAGGUCAGGAGUUCGAGACCAGCCUGGCCAACAUGGCAAAACCCCAUCUCUACUAAAAAUACAAAAGUUAGCUGGGGAUGGUGGCGUGUACCUGUUAUCCCAGCUACUCGGGAGACUGAGGCAGGAGAAUUGCUUGAACCCAGGAGGUGGAGGUUGCAGUGAGCUGAAAUUGUGCCACUGCACUCAUUCCAGCCUGGCCAAAAGAGCAAAACUCCGUCUCAAAAAAAAAAAAAAAAAAAAAAAAAAAAAAAAGAAAAGAAAAAAAGGUAAUUUAUUUGUAAUUUGUAAUUUAUCUCUUUUGUAAUUUAUUUUCUUUAGCAGGUCACUGUAUCUCUAUGCAUUACAGAAAAUGGCUAGUUAAAAACUUGUCAAGGCCAGUUGCAGGCAUGAUACCAGCAGUCUGGGAGGUAGAGACAAGAGGACACAUCUCUGCUGCUCCCUUCUUUCCCCAUGGUUAUGCGCCAACUUUGGUUUCACCAGGCCUACAGUGCUUCCCAGGUUUGGAGUGUGGGGAAGGAGAAGAUUUAAUGGAAGCAGCUUAAGGGAAAUGCUCAAACUAAACUGAUACUUUCUUCAUGAUCUAGCAUUGAAACUUUCUGGACUUGACAGAUAUUUAAAAUUAACUCUUUUUCUCAUUAACAUUUUCAUGGGUUCUUCCAAGAUCCACAUUACCCAACCUGUGGGUUCCCAUGACAAGGAUUAAGGCAUCUCUGUUUCUUCUGGACCUUUAUUUACCUGGAUUCUUUCUCUAGGGACUGUUUACCCUUAUGGGCCAUCCUUUUGAGCAUAACCUAACAAGAUUCAUGCUGGCUUUAAGUGAGUGGUCCACAUUUGGUUCAUGGGAAAACCACAUAGUUUGUCCCCAGCAAACCUGGAAGUAAUAUUUAUUUUACUGCUGGAAUUAAGGAAAACCAAAAAUCCUAUUACAAAAUGGCUCCUCUAAACAUUCACAUUACCCCUUUUUGUCUCUACCCCCUGAGGAACUAACCAACUCUAGCUCUUUGGAUUUUCCAAAUGAGAGGUCAACACAUCGAUGUCUCCAAGACCUUAAGUUCUUCUAGUGGUCUCUUUAAGCUUCCUCCCUUGAAUUAUGGUGAAAAGGGACUGCCUGCUACCCCCUCCUCUUGAGGAGAGGGGUGGUAUCACAGCCUAACAAUAAUUUCCAAAAAUUUUCUCCUCCAGCUCUAAUGCUUAACCAGUUUAGACUUUCAAAGUGGAUAAUGUAAUUUAAAGCCUUACAGCUAGUUAUGCUCUACUUCUUCUAUAAGUCCUGCAACCAGGUGGUCUCAAUCCUCACUUGCGAAUACUGCAUUUACUCACCUUGUGCCCUAGCCAAAACUUCCACAACAAAUUCUGUGGUGCAUUUAAGUGAAAGAUGUUAUUUGAUUGAUAGAGAGAUAGAUAGAUAGAUACAGAUAUAGAUAUAGAUAUGUAUUAGAACCAUGUCAAAUGGUUAACUUUUUUAAAAAGGUAAAUUUUUUAUAUUGAGAUAAUUAUAGAUUCUCAUACACUCGUAAGAAAUAACACAGAAAGAUCCCAUGUAGCCUUUAUCCAGUUUCCCCAGUGAUAAUAUCUUGCAAAACUAUAGUCCAAUAUCACAACCAAGAUACUGGCAUUGAUAGAUCACUUCCAUCACCACAAACAUCCCUCAUGUUGCCCUUUUAUAGCCACACUCAUUUCCCUCCUGCUGCCACCCUCUCCUUUACCCAUAACCACUUAUCUGUUCUCUAUUUUUGUAAUUUUAUCAUUUCAAGAAUACUGUAGAAAUGGAAUAAUACAGUAUGUAUUUUAGGGCUUAUCUUUUCUACACUCGGCAUGAUUCUCUGGAGAUUCAUCCAGGUUGUUGCAUGUAUCAAUAGUUCAUUCCUUUUUUACUGCUGAACAGUAUUCCAUUGUAUGUAUGUACCAUAGUUUAACUAUUUGCUCAAUGAAAGACAUAUAUUAAUAGUUUCCAGUUUUUGCUGUUAUGAAUAAAGCUACUAUAAACAUUCAUGUACAGGUUUUUGUAUUAAUGCAAGUCUUCAUUUCUUUGGAAGAGAUGACUGAAGUUCAAUUACUGGGUUACGUGGUAGUUGCAUAUUUCUUUUUUAAAGAAACUGCCAAACUGUUUUUCAGAGCAUCUGUAUCAUUUUAUAUUCUCACCAGCAACGUAUCAAUGACCUAGUUUCUCUACAUCCUUUCUAGCCUUAAUUGUCUUUGUUUUUUUAUUUUACUUUGUUUGUUUGUUUUGAGACAGGGUCUUUCUCUGUUGCCCAGGCUGGAAUUCAGUAGUGUAAUCAAGGCUCACUGAAGCCUGACCUCCCGGCUGAAGUGAACUGCCCACCUCAGUGCUGGAAGUAGGGUGGGGCGUCAGCCACCAGUAGCAGGACUGUAGGCAUCUGCCACCAUGCCUGGCUGAUUUCUCUUUUUUCUUUUUGCAGAGAUGGGGUUUUACUAUGUUGGAGAAGCUGGUCUCAAACUCCUGGGCUCAAGUCAUCCUCCCGCCUCAGCCUCCCAAAGUGCUGAGAUUACAGACGUGUGCCUGGCCUAUUUUACUCGUUUUAAUAGAUGUUGAGGGCUCAUGACACUCCUGGUGGCCAUAUACGCAGAGGUCAGGGAGAGAAAGGGACCUGUGGGCCAGCACCCUUAUUGGGUCCAGAGAGCUAUCCAAACAAGUUUCCAGCAGGGAAUUUAAUUGGUGGAUUUAAAGCAAGCAGGCAUGAGUUCCAGGGGGCCACACUGACUGAGACCCAAACACACUUGGAGGUCAUGUUCAAUAUGAAUACCUCACAGAGAAGGAAAUUUACACACAAGAAGUACAUCUGCAGAAAGCCAGCUGGCAUGUCAACCAUUCAAAAACUCAGGAAGUUCGGGAUAAAGAAGACUCAGGAAGACAAGUAUGAAGCAUAAUCUGCGACGUUCCAUGCGGCAGACGUUAGACACAUACAAGAGAGUUGUUGAAAAGUGGAAUUUAUCUUCAUAUAAACAACACUGAGCUAAAUCUCAAUAUUUCAGAUCUCUAGAACUAUCCAUCAAUGAAAUGGAUUGCAAAUAGAAAGAGUAAUACCAUGUCACUUAAGAAUACAAUCAUGGACGAUGCUGCCACCUGCUGUUGGGGGCCACUGCAGAAGAAAUUCCAGAACACUGGACUGGAGAGCACCUCACUUUCCUUACAGCUCUAAGUUUCUGACUCAGUGACCUGAUUCAGUACCAUAUACACAAAGACCCACUUACACAAAUGACUGUUCUUCACACUAGGCCCAUGGAGACAGGGAUAAAAUUCUGAAUUUGCUCAGAUACCUUCUCUGCUAUUGACAUCUAGGCAUUACACAAUUCAUCUCUUCAUACUUAACCUUUGAAGUUUGCUACUUCUCAGAGAGACUAAUGAGUAGUGAGCAAAUAUCCUGAAGCUGAGAAUGCUUCUACCUCCUCUCAAAACAACAGAAUAUUCAUCAAAACACAGCAGUUCUGCACUUAACUUUAGGCCUUUUCUAACACCUCAUUUCUUGGCAGUAACUGUGGCCAGAAUAGCUCUUUCCACAGAGAAAGGACCUUUUGAAAGGAUAGGGUCUCUAGAUAGAAAAGCAAAUGCCUCAUUCCAGAAGGUCUUCAAGAAGAAAAUGUUGUGGUGAUAACAAACAUAACUGAUUAUAAUCUAUUCUGUGAAAAAAGCUUAUGAAACAGUAGAUGUGUGUAUCUAGUACAUAAGAGCUGAAUGUCAAUAUAUAUAUAUAUAUAGAUAUAUACACACACUCAAAUAAAUAAUAGUUAUCUCUAACUAGAGAAAUUCUAGUUGCCUUAUAUUUUCUUCUUUUUCCUUACUAUAUUUUCUACAAUAAACAUGUGUUUUUAACAAGAAAAGUCUUUUCUGGUGUGCUUUUUAAUUUUCUUUGUUUAAGUGAGAGUGAGGCUACAUAACUACAUGGCUAGGUAGACUUUUAGAAAACUUGGCUGCUCUAGAAAAUUGACAUAUCCUGAUUUCUUCCAUAGCUUGGAUCUUGACCUAGAGGGAAAUAUAAAAAUGUUGACUUGAACCUGAGGGGUGCCAUUUUCACUGCUGAAGUAGUUUCAUGGAUCAUGAAUUGGAGAAAUGACUUCAGCAACACGGGUGUUAAAAACAGCACAAGUGACCCACAACAGAUGAUGGAGAACAAAGAGCAAGCUGGGAAAAGCAGUGGCCUUUAAUACAGAAAAGAAGAAGUAUAGCCACAAUAAAUAUUAGGCAGACAGCAGUUCAGCAGUUUAUACUAUUAAGCUGUUGUUUAGGGGAAUGGUAAACC